GAUGAAGAACGUAGUGAAAUGCGAUAAGUAAUGUGAAUUGCAGAAUUCAGUGAAUCAUCGAAUCUUUGAACGCAUCUUGCGCUCCUUGGUAUUCUGAGGAGCAUGCCUGUUUGAGUGUCAUUAAAUUCUCAACUACACUGACUUUGAAUUGGCGUGGCUUGGAUUUGGGGGGAAAAUUGUUGUGGGCUUUUUGUAUAGUCUGCUCCCCUGAAAUUGAUUAGCGGUACCUUUGUGGAACUGUCUACAGGUGUGAUAAUUAUCUACAUCUUAGACAUCUGCUGGAAUGCUGCUUUCUAAACCUUACUUGUAUUGACAAUCUUGACCUCAAAUCAGGUAGGACUACCCGCUGAACUUAAGCAUAUCAAUAAGCGGAGGA
Molecule: unclassified non-coding RNA, 376 nt
Filed under: soil metagenome
Description: partial contains 5.8S ribosomal RNA, internal transcribed spacer 2, and large subunit ribosomal RNA
Rfam family: 5.8S ribosomal RNA (bases 1-120)
Source: RNAcentral